RNAcentral lists this transfer RNA (76 nucleotides) under Gardnerella vaginalis. Its description in RNAcentral is "tRNA-Ala". It matches the Rfam family "tRNA". From Rfam's summary of the family: Transfer RNA (tRNA) molecules are approximately 80 nucleotides in length. Lineage: Bacteria; Bacillati; Actinomycetota; Actinomycetes; Bifidobacteriales; Bifidobacteriaceae. The record is from RNAcentral. RNAcentral also lists the same sequence under 31 other names.
GGGGCUAUAGCUCAGUUGGUAGAGCGCUUCGUUCGCAUCGAAGAGGUCGUGGUUUCGAUUACCAUUAGCUCCACUA